RNAcentral lists this ribosomal RNA (468 nucleotides) under uncultured bacterium. RNAcentral's name for it is "partial 16S ribosomal RNA". It matches the Rfam family "Bacterial small subunit ribosomal RNA", at positions 28 to 507 of the family's 1533-position model. The record is from RNAcentral.
GACGAACGCUGGCGGCGUGCUUAACACAUGCAAGUCGAACGGAAAGGCCCUGCUUUUGUGGGGUGCUCGAGUGGCGAACGGGUGAGUAACACGUGAGUAACCUGCCCUUGACUUUGGGAUAACUUCAGGAAACUGGGGCUAAUACCGGAUAGGAGCUCCUGCUGCAUGGUGGGGGUUGGAAAGUUUCGGCGGUUGGGGAUGGACUCGGGGCUUAUCAGCUUGUUGGUGGGGUAGUGGCUUACCAAGGCUUUGACGGGUAGCCGGCCUGGGAGGGUGACCGGCCACAAUGGGCCUGAGGUACGGCCCAGUCUCCUACGGUAGGCAGCAGUGGGGAAUAUUGCCCAAUGGGCGGAAGCCUGAUGCAGCAACGCCGCGUUCGGGAUGACGUCCUUCGGGUUGUAAACCGCUUUCGCCUGUGACGAAGCGUUAGUGACGGUAAUGGGUAAAGAAGCACCGGCUAACUACGUG